AGGCCACUAUUUGAAUGUGUGUUGCUCCUUGUGGCAGGUAUACUGUUCCAAUGCCCUGGGAUCUCUGUAGUGGUCGGUACUGUAUUGAUUAUAAAUGGUGAAGUCCUAGUAUCUUGCUAGAGUGAGCUGGCCAGGAUGGUGGAGCUCUACCACCAUUUCACAGGUUAUAGACAGGGGCCACCAGGUUUCAGGAAAGCAGCAAUGACCCCUCAGUAAUAGUUGGAAAGUGUGAUAUGACACUGAGCUUCACUGUGUUGGUGAAGAAGAGCUGCAGUUUGCCUCCACCUCUGAAGAAGCACAAUACACCUUUCUGGGUUACCAAUGGGAUACUUCCCAACAGCUUUGUCAUCACAUACAAUAUUCUCAAACAAGAUCUUAAUGGCAUCUACUUUCUCCAGGAACACAGCCCCUGACCUGUGUGUGUUUGCGUAGAGAAGGCAUGCUAUGUACCCCCUAGGAUAUCAAGAUUCCUGUAGCAGAUUGAGCUCUGGCAGUUGAUCUCAGUGGCUUGAUAGAGUGUCAUUAUAAAAACGCACCUGGAAGAUUCUGUGGAAAAGACAACCUCAGAAGACCAAGGUGAAUCCAAGGCCUGAUCUGGACUCUUAAUGGGUGGUUAAAUUCUAGUUCCUUUAAAUAAGCAUCAAAGACGCCACAAAACCACAGAUAAAGCUGCCAUAGACAGCUAUAUUUGGGACUCAUUUAUCAUUUGUCACAAGCAUUUCAUCCUCUUGCAAUAUUUUUUUCUACUUAGUACUUCUACAAGAAGGAAUCUGCCCACCACUCAAGCCUGGGAAAGCUGGCAGAGGAUGCACGUGUUUUACUCACCUGAGUGUUUACAAUGCUCGUGAGGUGCCUCCCUGAUAAUUUACAAUCCAAAGCAGAGUGGGAGGAAGAGACCUACAAGACCAUGUUUCAUUGGAUAGCUUUGGAGUAAUAUCUAUAAUUUUAGAAAAAAGUUAAGAGGAAGAAGAAACUGGUGUCAGCUACACUUAGAAGAUUUUACAACAGAGACUGGCUUCCAUUCACUGAUCAGACAUUCACUGAUUUUUAAUUCUUACCACCAGAGAAAAAGUUGUUAUGAUGAGGGUCCUCAGGAAAGACAAUACAGUCAGCCGAGAAAUACAAUUUUCUUUGUCUACUGUUGUUUCCUUUACACGGACCAUUGAAAUAUAUACUUAACCACCAGCAAAACUCCUAUUAAACACAAGUAAAAAAAAAUCACUACAUGCAAAAGAGUGAACACCA
This 1245-nucleotide long non-coding RNA is filed under the name Homo sapiens (human). Its description in RNAcentral is "long intergenic non-protein coding RNA 616". The record is from RNAcentral. Lineage: Eukaryota; Metazoa; Chordata; Mammalia; Primates; Hominidae.